Molecule: ribosomal RNA, 2931 nt
Filed under: Escherichia coli
Lineage: Bacteria; Pseudomonadati; Pseudomonadota; Gammaproteobacteria; Enterobacterales; Enterobacteriaceae
Description: 23S ribosomal RNA
Rfam family: Bacterial large subunit ribosomal RNA
Source: RNAcentral
GGGUUGUGAGGUUAAGCGACUAAGCGUACACGGUGGAUGCCCUGGCAGUCAGAGGCGAUGAAGGACGUGCUAAUCUGCGAUAAGCGUCGGUAAGGUGAUAUGAACCGUUAUAACCGGCGAUUUCCGAAUGGGGAAACCCAGUGUGAUUCGUCACACUAUCAUUAACUGAAUCCAUAGGUUAAUGAGGCGAACCGGGGGAACUGAAACAUCUAAGUACCCCGAGGAAAAGAAAUCAACCGAGAUUCCCCCAGUAGCGGCGAGCGAACGGGGAGCAGCCCAGAGCCUGAAUCAGUGUGUGUGUUAGUGGAAGCGUCUGGAAAGGCGCGCGAUACAGGGUGACAGCCCCGUACACAAAAAUGCACAUACUGUGAGCUCGAUGAGUAGGGCGGGACACGUGGUAUCCUGUCUGAAUAUGGGGGGACCAUCCUCCAAGGCUAAAUACUCCUGACUGACCGAUAGUGAACCAGUACCGUGAGGGAAAGGCGAAAAGAACCCCGGCGAGGGGAGUGAAAAAGAACCUGAAACCGUGUACGUACAAGCAGUGGGAGCACGCUUAGGCGUGUGACUGCGUACCUUUUGUAUAAUGGGUCAGCGACUUAUAUUCUGUAGCAAGGUUAACCGAAUAGGGGAGCCGAAGGGAAACCGAGUCUUAACUGGGCGUUAAGUUGCAGGGUAUAGACCCGAAACCCGGUGAUCUAGCCAUGGGCAGGUUGAAGGUUGGGUAACACUAACUGGAGGACCGAACCGACUAAUGUUGAAAAAUUAGCGGAUGACUUGUGGCUGGGGGUGAAAGGCCAAUCAAACCGGGAGAUAGCUGGUUCUCCCCGAAAGCUAUUUAGGUAGCGCCUCGUGAAUUCAUCUCCGGGGGUAGAGCACUGUUUCGGCAAGGGGGUCAUCCCGACUUACCAACCCGAUGCAAACUGCGAAUACCGGAGAAUGUUAUCACGGGAGACACACGGCGGGUGCUAACGUCCGUCGUGAAGAGGGAAACAACCCAGACCGCCAGCUAAGGUCCCAAAGUCAUGGUUAAGUGGGAAACGAUGUGGGAAGGCCCAGACAGCCAGGAUGUUGGCUUAGAAGCAGCCAUCAUUUAAAGAAAGCGUAAUAGCUCACUGGUCGAGUCGGCCUGCGCGGAAGAUGUAACGGGGCUAAACCAUGCACCGAAGCUGCGGCAGCGACGCUUAUGCGUUGUUGGGUAGGGGAGCGUUCUGUAAGCCUGUGAAGGUGUACUGUGAGGUAUGCUGGAGGUAUCAGAAGUGCGAAUGCUGACAUAAGUAACGAUAAAGCGGGUGAAAAGCCCGCUCGCCGGAAGACCAAGGGUUCCUGUCCAACGUUAAUCGGGGCAGGGUGAGUCGACCCCUAAGGCGAGGCCGAAAGGCGUAGUCGAUGGGAAACAGGUUAAUAUUCCUGUACUUGGUGUUACUGCGAAGGGGGGACGGAGAAGGCUAUGUUGGCCGGGCGACGGUUGUCCCGGUUUAAGCGUGUAGGCUGGUUUUCCAGGCAAAUCCGGAAAAUCAAGGCUGAGGCGUGAUGACGAGGCACUACGGUGCUGAAGCAACAAAUGCCCUGCUUCCAGGAAAAGCCUCUAAGCAUCAGGUAACAUCAAAUCGUACCCCAAACCGACACAGGUGGUCAGGUAGAGAAUACCAAGGCGCUUGAGAGAACUCGGGUGAAGGAACUAGGCAAAAUGGUGCCGUAACUUCGGGAGAAGGCACGCUGAUAUGUAGGUGAAGUCCCUCGCGGAUGGAGCUGAAAUCAGUCGAAGAUACCAGCUGGCUGCAACUGUUUAUUAAAAACACAGCACUGUGCAAACACGAAAGUGGACGUAUACGGUGUGACGCCUGCCCGGUGCCGGAAGGUUAAUUGAUGGGGUCAGCGCAAGCGAAGCUCUUGAUCGAAGCCCCGGUAAACGGCGGCCGUAACUAUAACGGUCCUAAGGUAGCGAAAUUCCUUGUCGGGUAAGUUCCGACCUGCACGAAUGGCGUAAUGAUGGCCAGGCUGUCUCCACCCGAGACUCAGUGAAAUUGAACUCGCUGUGAAGAUGCAGUGUACCCGCGGCAAGACGGAAAGACCCCGUGAACCUUUACUAUAGCUUGACACUGAACAUUGAGCCUUGAUGUGUAGGAUAGGUGGGAGGCUUUGAAGUGUGGACGCCAGUCUGCAUGGAGCCGACCUUGAAAUACCACCCUUUAAUGUUUGAUGUUCUAACGUUGACCCGUGAUCCGGGUUGCGGACAGUGUCUGGUGGGUAGUUUGACUGGGGCGGUCUCCUCCUAAAGAGUAACGGAGGAGCACGAAGGUUGGCUAAUCCUGGUCGGACAUCAGGAGGUUAGUGCAAUGGCAUAAGCCAGCUUGACUGCGAGCGUGACGGCGCGAGCAGGUGCGAAAGCAGGUCAUAGUGAUCCGGUGGUUCUGAAUGGAAGGGCCAUCGCUCAACGGAUAAAAGGUACUCCGGGGAUAACAGGCUGAUACCGCCCAAGAGUUCAUAUCGACGGCGGUGUUUGGCACCUCGAUGUCGGCUCAUCACAUCCUGGGGCUGAAGUAGGUCCCAAGGGUAUGGCUGUUCGCCAUUUAAAGUGGUACGCGAGCUGGGUUUAGAACGUCGUGAGACAGUUCGGUCCCUAUCUGCCGUGGGCGCUGGAGAACUGAGGGGGGCUGCUCCUAGUACGAGAGGACCGGAGUGGACGCAUCACUGGUGUUCGGGUUGUCAUGCCAAUGGCACUGCCCGGUAGCUAAAUGCGGAAGAGAUAAGUGCUGAAAGCAUCUAAGCACGAAACUUGCCCCGAGAUGAGUUCUCCCUGACUCCUUGAGAGUCCUGAAGGAACGUUGAAGACGACGACGUUGAUAGGCCGGGUGUGUAAGCGCAGCGAUGCGUUGAGCUAACCGGUACUAAUGAACCGUGAGGCUUAACCUUACAACGCCGAAGGUGUUU